RNAcentral lists this long non-coding RNA (1300 nucleotides) under Citrus x clementina. RNAcentral's name for it is "Citrus clementina (C. clementina) long non-coding RNA (CCLE_LNC001027)". The record is from RNAcentral. Lineage: Eukaryota; Viridiplantae; Streptophyta; Magnoliopsida; Sapindales; Rutaceae.
UUUUUAAAAAUAUCAUUUUUUUUCAUGUUGCCGUUAACAGAAUAAUUGAUAGUUUGGAGAGAUUAGACUUUCCUAUUUGACGAGAUCAUCACCGCCAUUUUCAAUAUAAUUGACUCUCAAUCCUUGAAUUACAAGCCAAUGUCACAGCAAAAUUAAUUAAGAUGGCAGAAUUGUGAAGGCAGAAACCAUGAAAUGCGUGGAGGGAAUACAUGAGAAGGCAGAAACCAUGAGAUUAAACGUUUGAAUUACAAGCCAAUGCGUGGAGGGAAUAUAAUUAAGCUUGGUUGUCGGCACCAGCCAAGCUAGCCCUGCCGAGAAACUAAAGGGUAAUUUCCACUUUAAUCGUUAUGAUAUGGAUCAAUUUACCUCUAAUUAAUCCCCAUUGUAUUCUUAAAUUUACUCAGUCAGUCCUUAUCUUUACAUUUAUAAUUGUUGAUUUUUUUUUUUUUCAAGAGUAACAUAGUCUACGAUGUAAUUUGAGUUAAAACUAAAGCAAAUAUGAUAUGUAAGGGGAAGCAAAGUCAAAUCGACUAUUACUUUACAUCUCAAAAUUUUUUUAUUCCAAUAAACUAUAAUAUAUGAUAUGACAUUCAUCAAUUAGUUGGUAAGAUAUUACAAUCAAUUCACUUGGUUCGUGUAAAGAAUUAUCAAUCAUUUAAUAAAUGCUACACUAUUUAAAUAAAACUUGAAAUAGAAAAUUUAGGAUGCUUAUCAUUACUUGGAUAAAUGCCCGUUGAAUUAAAAGAAUUUGAUCCUAAUGAACUUAACUAAGGAACCGUUUAUUUUUUUUAUCUGAAAUCCGAACAUUGUAAGAGGUAGGUUGUUUGUUCUUAUAAACUAAAAAUAUCUUAAAUAUAAUAUUUUUUACAUUUAUGACCUUGAAGUGUCAUAUACACUUGGAAAUUUAAAUAGGUAUAUAUUUACGGCGCUAUCUAGUACAAUAGUAUUUAUGUAUUGUAAAUAUUUACAAGUUAAGCAUUUGAUAUAUAAUUUAUGAAAAAUAAUUUUGAUAUUUUUUACAAUUUAACAUAACAUUUAUACAUAAAAAAUUAUUAUCUAACUAUAAAGAAUUUGCCUAAAAUUCAAAUUGAGUGUAUGUUAAGUAUUUAAGACCAAGUAAAAGUUGAGGUCAAGAGAAAUUCUAAUAUCGCGAAAAAUAAAUAUUAAAGGGUUAGUUUUACAUAAUAGUUAGGUAGGAAAUAAAUACAUUUAAUGAGAGUAUUUGUGAGGAAAGAAAUUGAUUUUUCAUUUAGACACUUUAUCAUUCAGAUAAAAGUCAUGAAAUUUUACUUUUUACAUU